Molecule: long non-coding RNA, 1081 nt
Filed under: Coturnix japonica (Japanese quail)
Lineage: Eukaryota; Metazoa; Chordata; Aves; Galliformes; Phasianidae
Description: lncRNA (ENSCJPG00005005526.1)
Source: RNAcentral
GAUGUUGUGCAGAAACGCUUUUGAUGCAGGCUAUAAUUAAAAUGGAAGAAUGAGGAAGAUAGAUCUGAUAUGAAACAAGAGGAAGGAAGUCAAUAAGCAUCAAGAACUUCACUCACUCCCCUGACGCAGUGGCAUGCACAGGUCUCUGGGUGGAACACGAACACCAGUUGCUCUUGGACGUAACCUCAUUCCAGUCGUGGAGAGAAAAGAUUUCCAGAUUGGAAGCAUAAUACCUGAGAGCAAAGGAGAGAAGCAAAGGAGGGAGCAGGAGGAUACUUGGCCAGACGUGUAAAUAGCACUGAGAUGUUUGGAUCCUGACAUGCUGAAAGCCACAAAGACUUCUACAUUUUUUGUGUCCUCAGCUUCAGAAACUGAAGAGUAAGAAGCAGCUACAUGCAAAGUCUGGAUGCAGAAGUAAUAUCCUGACUUGUUCAUAUCUUGACUUCCAAACAGUGAUGGAAAACAGUUGUUGGUAAAAGUUGCAGGCUCAGUGAACUUAUCGUGAUUGCAUGUUCCUGAGAAGAAGCAGACGUUAUCAGCACAGAGUGGGAAUGUUGUCUAAAAUAGGUAAGUAAAAUUACUAUAAUGAAUCCACCAUCACUUGAUGAAAUACCCUGUUGAAGGUUGCAAACAGAAGUAUUUAAAGAAAACACUAUUUUACAAGAAAUUGUUGCCUUGACUGCAUGUGAAUCUCACUGGGAAAUCUGUCAUCUUGUUUCUGACAUUUGUUCUGAGAAGGGAAGAAAAAAAUCUGUUAAGAACUAUGCCAAGAUAAGCAGUGGUAAAAUUACCAACUAAGGAGCCUCCAGUAGAAUGCUAUUAUAAGAAGGGAACAACAUAAAGAAGAUGACAAACUUCUUAUGUAAGUUAUGAACCUCCAUGGUCUAAUGGAAGAUGUUAUAGCCACAAAUUAAACCUAUCUGACAAGAAGUCCUACUGGCCAAGAGCUAUUCUUUUCUAUUAAAGGAAAAAGCUACUUUACUUCUCUAGCAUAGCAGCCAGGGGGAAGUUUUACUGGUACAAAGCUGAAGAAGAGAAAGAGCAAAAUAAAACUAAUAAACUUUAAAGGAGGUCGUAGGAA